AGAGUUUGAUCCUGGCUCAGAACGAACGCUGGCGGCAGGCCUAACACAUGCAAGUCGAGCGCACCUUCGGGUGAGCGGCGGACGGGUUAGUAACGCGUGGGAACGUGCCCAGAUCUGCGGAAUAGCCACUGGAAACGGUGAGUAAUACCGCAUACGCCCUUCGGGGGAAAGAUUUAUCGGAUUUGGAUCGGCCCGCGUUAGAUUAGGUAGUUGGUGGGGUAACGGCCUACCAAGCCUACGAUCUAUAGCUGGUUUUAGAGGAUGAUCAGCAACACUGGGACUGAGACACGGCCCAGACUCCUACGGGAGGCAGCAGUGGGGAGUCUUGGACAAUGGGCGCAAGCCUGAUCCAGCCAUGCCGCGUGAGUGAUGAAGGCCUUAGGGUCGUAAAGCUCUUUCGCCAGGGAUGAUAAUGACAGUACCUGGUAAAGAAACCCCGGCUAACUCCGUGCCAGCAGCCGCGGUAAUACGGAGGGGGUUAGCGUUGUUCGGAAUUACUGGGCGUAAAGCGCGCGUAGGCGGACCAGAAAGUUAGGGGUGAAAUCCCGGGGCUCAACCCCGGAACUGCCUCUAAAACUCCUGGUCUAGAGUUCGAGAGAGGUGAGUGGAAUUCCGAGUGUAGAGGUGAAAUUCGUAGAUAUUCCGAAGGAACACCAGUGGCGAA
Molecule: ribosomal RNA, 664 nt
Filed under: uncultured Alphaproteobacteria bacterium
Lineage: Bacteria; Pseudomonadati; Pseudomonadota; Alphaproteobacteria
Description: bacterial SSU rRNA
Rfam family: Bacterial small subunit ribosomal RNA
Source: RNAcentral